GACGAACGCUGGCGGCGUGCUUAACACAUGCAAGUCGAACGGAAAGGCCCUGCUUUUGUGGGGUGCUCGAGUGGCGAACGGGUGAGUAACACGUGAGUAACCUGCCCUUGACUUUGGGAUAACUUCAGGAAACUGGGGCUAAUACCGGAUAGGAGCUCCUGCUGCAUGGUGGGGGUUGGAAAGUUUCGGCGGUUGGGGAUGGACUCGCGGCUUAUCAGCUUGUUGGUGGGGUAGUGGCUUACCAAGGCUUUGACGGGUAGCCGGCCUGAGAGGGUGACCGGCCACAUUGGGACUGAGGUACGGCCCAGACUGCUACGGGAGGCAGCGGGGGGGAAUAUUGCGCAAUGGGCGGAAGCCUGAUGCAGCAACGCCGCGUGCGGGAUGACGUCCUUCGGGUUGUAAACCGCUUUCGCCUGUGACGAAGCGUGAGUGACGGUAAUGGGUAAAGAAGCACCGGCUAACUACGUG
This 468-nucleotide ribosomal RNA is filed under the name uncultured bacterium. RNAcentral describes it as "partial 16S ribosomal RNA". It matches the Rfam family "Bacterial small subunit ribosomal RNA", at positions 28 to 507 of the family's 1533-position model. The record is from RNAcentral.